CCCCCCCGCCGGCGUCCUGCCCACGCGGCUGCCGGCGGGGCGCCUUGGCCUGGCCGGGCCCGGGCAGCCCCGCGGCCCAGGAUGCCCCGCGGGCAGAAGGCAGCGGUGUGGGUUGUGGGUUCGCAGAGCUCCCUCCGGCCGACAGCCCCCCGGGCGGCUUGUGGCUGCUGGGCGCCCCUCCUCCGUGCGCCGGGAGGGCGCGGGCUCGUAACCUGAGCAGGGAGAUGGGCCCAGGGUUAAAAAUAAUGUCGCUGAGAAGAGUGGCCUGAUCCCUCAGCAUCCUUUGCCAGCAGCAUCCUCUGAAAAGCCUACUCUGCCAAAAUUGCCCAGCAGACCAGCCAGUGCCAUCCAUGCUCCUGUCACCAGCAGCGGGGGUGCUCAGCAGAGGCCAGACAGACCAAAUGCUUUCCCUGCAUUCCGGGGCAGCAGAGGCUGUUCCAAAGA
Molecule: long non-coding RNA, 444 nt
Organism: Vidua chalybeata
Lineage: Eukaryota; Metazoa; Chordata; Aves; Passeriformes; Viduidae
Exons: 2
Source: RefSeq, a predicted model, not a curated record